AUGGAUAAAUUGGUAGAUAGCUGAAUGGCUUAUCAUUGGAAUGGGACCAGUGGCCUUAUAAGAAGAGAGACCUGAGCUAGCACACACAGCCCCCUCACAUGGGCCACCUCAGUACUCUGCAGGGUCCCCACCAGCAGGAAAGCCUUCACCAGAUAUGGCCCUUUGACUCUGACUUCUCAGCCUCCAUAACCGUAGUCAAACAGUGAACAUGAUUCCUUCAGAGAAAGGACCCAAGCUGCCUACAAGCUCCAGUUUGGCAUCCCCUCCCAAAGU
RNAcentral lists this long non-coding RNA (273 nucleotides) under Homo sapiens (human). RNAcentral's name for it is "non-protein coding lnc-CXCR4-2:1". Lineage: Eukaryota; Metazoa; Chordata; Mammalia; Primates; Hominidae. The record is from RNAcentral.